This 3134-nucleotide ribosomal RNA is filed under the name Triticum aestivum (bread wheat). RNAcentral's name for it is "partial small subunit ribosomal RNA". The record is from RNAcentral. Lineage: Eukaryota; Viridiplantae; Streptophyta; Magnoliopsida; Poales; Poaceae.
GAGAAGAGUCUGAGCUUUCUUUAGAGAUGAGGAUUACAGAGUCAACCAUCCAGCGCAAGGCCCAAAAUAAAAGCAGGGUGGAUUGGGCCAGAUAAAACCAUGAAGAAACCAUGAUGAAGGGUGGAAGGAGGUUGGCGCCUUUUGGUUUUUUUUGGGGCGCUACCUCAGGGCGUGGGCGUGUUGGAGGGUAAGAAUAGUAGACUCUACUUGCAUUUUUUUUUUGACUUUUUGGCGACCGGUGUCUGGCAGAUUCUAAUUGGUCGCUAUUUUUUUGCCGUAACCAGAGCUUGCUCAUGAGCACGGGAGCUCGCUCCAGAGCACACCUAGAACGCUCACGGGAGGAAGCGGGCGGCGGCGGGUAGCCAGGAAGGGGCGGUAGGGAGGUAACGAGGGAGGAGCUAGGGCUAGACCUAGCUCCCCUGCUCCUCGAGCACGGAGGGGCUGCCGGCCGGAGGAGGAGCGGGGCGGCGACGCAGGCCGCGGCGGUACCGGAGACCUCGGUCCCUUCGGUACCGGACUCGAGCCGGAGCUCCAGGGGCGGCGGCAGAGGACGUCGAAGACGGGGCGGCGGAGCGGCGGGCUCGAGCGGCAGCGUGGUUGGAGCCGCGGCGCGGCUGCGGCCGAGACCAGCGGAGGUGGAGGCGCGACACUCCUUGGGUGGUGCGCACAGUUCCGCUCCGCGGAGGACCCGACGCAGGCAAAGGUCUCGCUCGCGGGCACUUAUGGAUCGAUCGGCGGCGGCAGCACUGGCAAGGUCGGUGGCGGUUCCUGUCCUCGAACGUGUCUCAAAAAUCAUCUUCUGCCGCAUUUAACACCAUAACCGGCGUUAGACCUUCAAGAAGUCUAGGUUUAGGACGAAGUCUUUCACAUAUACUUCGUUUCCAGACGUGGAUGUACAAUAGUCUUCAGUUCAGAAUCUGUUCCUUUCACCUUCCUCACUACUUCUUGAUUUUGUAUCAAUGUCACCCGCAAAAAAUAUCCUUGUUUUGACUUCUUAAACUGUAAUUGUAUUAAAAUCAUGAUUUAGUCCACAGGGACCAAAACAAUCGUAGUCCUGUACAACUGGAUUAACAGGUACCAAUGUGAGUAGAAGUUUGCCGUGUUGAACAAAACGACGUGUAGAAGAGAAUGGUAUACUACUUGUCUUGCUGCCGCGGCUGUACCUACUGAGCCUCGAGUUGGAACAGUUCCCGGCGCUCGUCGCCGCUGAAAGAAAAGGUGCUCUUCUACUGGUUCCCGCGGUAGCCGGUGAAACAGAAGCGGCAGCUUCUCAGGUUCGAGCAGAGGCGUAGCCAACGUAACCACGGCUAGUCCCUUUAUACCUGUGACCUACUCGGACAAUAUGUUAUGUCAGCACGUGGAGAUAGCGCAGCUCUUCCUGUCCUUAAGAGUCCUCUCAAAAGAGGGAAAGCGUCCUAUGCGCUCUGACACGCUGCAGGCGACCUGUUUCGCCAACCUGAUAAACUCUGGCGAACUGUACUACACCAACCAGGCCGCGGCAAAACGCCCAAAAGAAGUGCCCUGCCGCGUCGCCGAAUCACCCGACAGGGGGGGGGGGUGUGUGUGUGUGUGUCAACGUAGGAAUGGGGACUGGGUAACUAAGAAGGGGCAAACGAAACUUAAACUACAAGUUGACAUCCUGACUUAAAACUUCAAACAGAACCAAAUAGAACUUAAGGGAGACUGGGGAUUAGUAGACACACAUCAUCUUGAUGAACAGGAAGGGUAUGGAGGUGAUUGAAAAAAGAAUGAUAUAGUAUCAACAAACUAAUAACCGUUUAUUUUGUUGUUAAUAAAUGGAAUAGGAAAAAAUAGACGUCUAACCAGAUCGUUGUAUCUCUCCUUCGACGUUUCUUCGAGGUUCACCUACAUCUCAAAAGAGAAGUUAAAGUCGAACACCUUAAACUCCUCUUAGACACGUGGUCGUAGGCUGAGGAACUACAACGAGACUAGUAUAACACAUUUAUAUAAAGAUUAUUUCGUUAGCGGGCCACCACAUGUACAAUCUUUAUUGUUCUACAUUAGUAGUUCACACUCUCUACCGUUGUAGUACUACCCUACCAUACAUGACAACACGAGUAGUUAUCCCCCUCGAGUUCCAGUACCGUCCCGAAGCUAAAAAGAACAUCUUUUCUCUCUGUAUCCUCCUAGGCCCCUCCUCCUCUCCAUCCUCUUCUUCCUGCCCCUUCAUCCUUCCCACGUCAUCCCCACUCACACGAAGGCGGACGGUGCGGGUUCCGAACUAGACGGCGGCGGAGAGGAGAUGGGUACGACGGACACUGUGCAGUCUAGGGGUCGACGGCAGUGAAGAGGAGACGGGUACCCGGUACCGACAAAAUUACGUAGUUUAGGUGAUGUCUAGCUAGACGACAUUGUAACCGACCCACAAGAGAAGAGCUGAGAUGGUUGUGAGACCUCAAUGUUCGUUAACGUAGUCCUCGAGCCAGUUUUUAGUGGAUUCUUUUUAUACAGUAAGAAGAGAUGUUCCCAACGUACACCUUAAACUCCUCUUAGACACGUGGUCGUAAGGCUGAGGAACUACAACGAGACUAGUAUAACACAUUUAUAUAAAGAUUAUUUCGUUACCGGGCUACCACAUGUACAAUCUUUAUUGUUCUACAUUAGUAGUUCACACUCUCUACCGUUGUAGUACUACCCUACCAUACAUGACAGCACGAGUAGUUAUCUCAAUCUAGUGAAAAUACAGACUCUCAGCUAAAAAACACACGCAAUCUACCUAACUGUUCAUGGCUUCUAACUACGUUCGUUUUGAUUUUGGACAGGUACCUAAUGGAAGUCAGGGCGUAAGGUUAGUUGUUGUAACUCGGCUCGCUCGCGCGCCCACCGCGUUCUCCUUUACCCGUCGGCCACCUCUGACUCACCACUCACCGCCACCGCUCCAGCUCGCCAACCGUGGUCGACGUUAAUGGCACUGCCCGCUCGCCUGCCCCACUCAUCCACAGUGCUAACGUAGUGUUAACCUUAUUUCAUUUUUUUACGUAUGUAUACCGGUAACUGACUAAAACACACAACACACGAACACAAUUGCUUCUAAUAAAGAGUUGAGCCGUACACCAAUCUCUGAUUUUUCUGCUACGGUACCAUCGUACCGUCUGGACCGUUCACGGUGCCUG